GGGUUGUGAGGUUAAGCGACUAAGCGUACACGGUGGAUGCCCUGGCAGUCAGAGGCGAUGAAGGACGUGCUAAUCUGCGAAAAGCGUCGGUAAGGUGAUAUGAACCGUUAUAACCGGCGAUGUCCGAAUGGGGAAACCCAGUGCAAUUCGUUGCACUAUCGUUAACUGAAUACAUAGGUUAACGAGGCGAACCGGGGGAACUGAAACAUCUAAGUACCCCGAGGAAAAGAAAUCAACCGAGAUUCCCCCAGUAGCGGCGAGCGAACGGGGAGCAGCCCAGAGUCUGAAUCAGCUUGUGUGUUAGUGGAACGGUCUGGAAAGUCCGACGGUACAGGGUGAUAGUCCCGUACACCAAAAUGCACAGGCUGUGAACUCGAAGAGUAGGGCGGGACACGUGGUAUCCUGUCUGAAUAUGGGGGGACCAUCCUCCAAGGCUAAAUACUCCUGACUGACCGAUAGUGAACCAGUACCGUGAGGGAAAGGCGAAAAGAACCCCGGCGAGGGGAGUGAAAAAGAACCUGAAACCGUGUACGUACAAGCAGUGGGAGCACCUUCGGGUGUGACUGCGUACCUUUUGUAUAAUGGGUCAGCGACUUAUAUUCUGUAGCAAGGUUAACCGUAUAGGGGAGCCGCAGGGAAACCGAGUCUUAAC
RNAcentral lists this ribosomal RNA (652 nucleotides) under Klebsiella pneumoniae. Its description in RNAcentral is "partial 23S ribosomal RNA". It matches the Rfam family "Bacterial large subunit ribosomal RNA", at positions 1 to 688 of the family's 2925-position model. Lineage: Bacteria; Pseudomonadati; Pseudomonadota; Gammaproteobacteria; Enterobacterales; Enterobacteriaceae. The record is from RNAcentral.